GGUGUGCUUACGUGUGUAAACUUGUGCGUGUGCGUGUGUGGUGCAACCUCCCCCCACCCUCUCCAACGCAGAGCGGCACACCUGACAUGUUGUCGUAUGCUGACCCGCUUCAGUUUUGAAUUGGCACACUUCUCCUGCCCGGCCCUCCUCACCGCUCCACCCCUGUGAUGUGUUCAACACAUGCGCGCUGGCAAACAUAGCAGAGAAAGCCAUACACUUAGGCAGAGGAAGAUCAUCAAAGACGCGGGGCUCGCGCAGCAGCAGCGGCAGUAGAGGCGCGAAGAGAUCCGUGAGUACGCUGCCACCCAGACAAGACGAGGAGGGCUAAGCGGUGUUACACGUAGCACCUGCACAGCAACUUCUCUCUCGCCUACACACUUUCGCUUCCUGAGGAAGAAGCGUUUUGCACGGCGGUCGAAUAGACAGUGGCGGCCGCCCCCCCUCCGGUCAGCGAUGGAGACGGCACCCUUGCCCUCACUUGCAGCUACGCCUGCCAGCGCUGCAGUGCCCAGCAAGCCGCAGUUGUCGAUGCCCUCCGUGGCGACUGUCGCCGACGCUUCGUCCACUGCUCUAUCUAGCGACUGCAUGGCCCGUCUCAACACCGUCAUCGCGGACGACAUCCGCCAGCUCAGCCGCGAUGACCUCGACGUGAAGCGGUGGUUGAACACGGCGCUCUCGCGCCUGUUGGAGGCUGCGAAAGAGGUGUCGCCCGCCGGCGCCACCGCUGCUGCCGCAGCAUCGCCAGUACCCUCUCACGCUUCAACUGCAUCCUUAGCGUCUGCGACGACGACAUCUACCCGUAAGCCUCUGCAUCUGGAAGAGCAGCUGGUGCAACUCUUGCAUGCCCGCGUGCAGACUCACAGUCAAGAGCUCAGCGCCGGGAUUGAGGAUCUCAUCUCCUCCACCCUUGUGCGGCUGCCGCGAACCACGAUGGAGCUGACGCGCAUGGCGGCAGAGGCUGCAGAGCUGACGGAGCAGCUGCAGCGCAUCGAGGGCGUCGUCCACCCCGCCGUAGUCGCUGGCUCCGAAGCCUAUGUGGCGGAGCUGCAGCUGCGCAAUGCCUCGGAGUCAAAGCUGCAGAGGUGCAGGCGAUACCUGGAGAAGGCGGCACGCGUGAAGGAGAGCAUCCGCAGCCUGCAGUACCUCGUCGAGCAACGCGAGUCGACGAAUAACAAAACAGGAAGCGGCAACGGCAGCGACGCUCUCAAGAGCCUAGAAAAGGGAACGGACAGCAGCGCCGGCCCGAUCACCGCUGGCAACCCCGUGAAUGGCUCCGCGUCGUCGGGCAAGGCGGCGGCUCGGCAUCGCGACUUGGACGAGGUCGCCGGCAUCAUCCGCCAAGCUCGCGAAGACCUGAAGGAAAUCACAGCUGUCGAUGACACCUUCGGAGAGCAGUACAAGGCUCAGCUUGAGCUAUUCGAGCAGUAUAUUGAGCACGCUCUCGAGGAGGAGUGUGUGGCGUGUCUUCUGGCUCAUCAGUUGGAGCGUGCUACUCGCCUCAUGACGACCCUUUACAGCAUAGGACGUGCCGAUGCCGUUUUGAAGUGCUACGGGGAGCAGGCUGCGACGCAGAUGGCGGCGAUGCAGCAGGAGAAGCUGCGUGCGUGUGUGAGCAGUGGAGGUGCUGGCGUGCACAGGAGCAACGUGGCCGCUGCGGCGGUGGCGGAGCUGCUCCGCCGCGAGAUCAUCCCGGACGACAACGCCUUUGUGUCGCGUGAGCUCACGUUUCUGUCCAGCCUUGUACGGCGCACGCUGGAGGAGGCCCAGGCGACGUCUUCGUCCAAGUCAGGCGGUGCAGGGGCCAGUGGGGCUGCUCAAGAAGCAGCAACGACGACACGCAGCAAGCCCCCUGGCGCCUCUACCCCCUCUGCAGCGACGGCCUCCCCAGCGGUGCUCGCGUCAGUGCCCACGGGGGGGGCGAGUGGAGGCGGCCACAUCGCUGUCGAGGACGAUCCCCGCGCUGUGCAGGCUCUGGAAGUUAUAUCCAUCAUCCUCCAUAAGCUCUACGAGCCGGUGCAAUCGACGUUGCAGCCACUGCUGACCGAGCGGCCCGACACAACAAACGCCGAUUUUGUGGCGUGCCUCUCGGCCAUUCAACUGAUCAAGAUCUCCGCGACGUCCGUGACGACGGCGGCACCACAAGGGAUGGCAGGGGAGCAGUCGUCGGCCAGCACGGGUUUUGCGACGCCGUCAGUGACGGCGAAGGACCCGUUGGAAAAACUCGCGCGCGAGGUGACGCACCGUGCCCUCGGCCUCUUCGCCGGGCUUUUCCACGAGGAGCGUGUGCUGGACCGGUACGCGGCGCGUGUCUGCGCACCGGUUGCAGCGUUCUGCGAGCAGCCGCUAUCGAGGGCUCUCUCAGCUGUCGCUAGCACUGCCACCGCUGACGAGCUCGACGAGGACAGCCUGACGAGCGUGCUCACGCAUGCGAUCCAGGAGGUGCUCGUCUACGCGCCGGAGAAGAUUACGACGCGAUGUACGACGGCCUGGCACGCGUCGCUUUCGAAGAUGCUCGCGCAGCUGCAGCCGACGCCCAGCACGUCGCAGCACACGCUGCUGCAGUAUUUGUACAUCUACAAGCGCCGCGUGCGUCCGCUCGUGAUGAGGGCGCAGCAGAGCGUGGAGGACUGGCUAUCGACGGGCACGGUACACGAGCGCUACCCGACGAGCGCUGCAGUGCUCUGCUCUGAUCUGCAGACGCGUGUGUGGGCCCCGCUGAAGGAUGAGGUGGAGGAGGCUCAGGAGUUCAUCCAGAAGAGCAUCCUGAACAACAUCACGCGACCGAUCCUCGCCACGGUCGCAGCUUACACGUCUCUGCCGUACUGGGGCAACGCGUUAGCCUCAGCCGACGGCUCCUCUAGCUCCACUCCUGUCGCGGUAGGCGCAUCGAAACCCUUGGGUACCUACACUCAAGGGCAAGCCGCCCCAAGCAGCGCGGUGCGCAACAUGGGAGAGAUGCUCAUGGAGCUGCCUCUGACGCUGGAGACUCUCGGCUCCGGUGCUGUGGCAGAGUGCCGCCGCAACGCUCAAGGGACUGGCAGCGCUGGAAAUGGUGCCAGCGACGCAGAUGCCGAAGAUGGAGUGCGUGCGUUGAUCGAGGAACAGGCGGAGGAGUGGCUCAGGGCCGUGGUGAGCGAUGUGGUGAGCACCUUUGUGAAGGAAAAGGUGUUGCAGCUGCAGAUAGGGCCGUUUGGGUCCGUGCCGCCGUCGCAGCAACAACAGCGGGAGCACCAAACACAGCGAGCGACGUCAAGCGCGAGUGAGGCGAUGCAGUGCCGCUACGCCGCCGCGCUGGAACAACUGACGACCGAUCUUGACUACGUACGCAACAUUCUCUCCGCUGUCAACGAGGAGUCUCUCGAGACUGUUGAGCGGGUGCUGCGGGCCGUGCAAGCGCUGCCACCUGCUUCCGUGUGUGCGGUCUUCGUGGUGGGCAACGCCAUUAACAUGACAACACUGGAUGGCGGCGCAGCUGACAAUGCCGUGGAGCAGCAUCAGCAACCGCAGCAGUAGAAAUCGGGACAGCAUCUCGUCAACAGAGAGGCACUGACGUGUGUGGAAGGGGGGAGAGAGAUGCGGCUACAGGUAUGUUUAUGUAUGUGUGUUUGGUUGUGGUUCUAUGCAGAACACGCGGCACACCCAGGCACGUUCGCUGGCUGGUCGUCUUUGUCGGGAGACAGUGCGUGAGAAAGAGUGAGAGCGGGGGUGGGGGGGGGGGGGGGAGGAGGGGCUCUUUACAUGCUCAUCGUUAUUGAGUCGCUGUUGUUGCGUGUGUGUACGUGGCACCUGCACUCGUUUCCCUCGCCGACUGUUGCUGCUGGUGUUUGUUCUCUCGUUGCGUGUGUUGAGUGUGUCGCAGGAGAGGAGGGAACGGGCAACGGCGUACCUUCAUGCUAGCUUUCCACGCACACAAGGCACCGUCUACUGUUGAUUGCGACCCUAUCCCGCAUGACCGCGUGGGCGGAAAGUCCUCGAAUGGUUGCCGGAAGGAAGCGCUCCAGGUGACGGCAGCACAGACAAACAUUUCGAUGAAGUCGUGCGUGACCGCUGGUGGCUGGCGCGCACCACCGGAAGAAUUCAAUCGACAGAGAGCCACAUCGUUGUUUUUCUUGAGGGGUCGUUCAAAGAAGUGGUUGCCUUUCCUCCCAUGAUGUGAUGUUGUCAUGUGUGUAUGCCGGCGUACAGGCCGCGCGGAUGGUUUUCACACCCCUCUCUCGCGUUCAAGUGAUUCGGGGUGCUGUCUUUCUCGUUUCGUUUUUGUUUCCGUGUCCAUUCCUGCGCCACACAACAUGCGCUAAG
This 4299-nucleotide unclassified non-coding RNA is filed under the name Leishmania donovani. Its description in RNAcentral is "gene:LdHU3.26.1800(CDS-product:hypothetical_prote in_conserved)". The record is from RNAcentral. Lineage: Eukaryota; Euglenozoa; Kinetoplastea; Trypanosomatida; Trypanosomatidae.